UGCAAGUCGAACGGCAGCACGGAGCUUGCUCUGGUGGCGAGUGGCGAACGGGUGAGUAAUAUAUCGGAACGUACCCUNGAGUGGGGGAUAACGUAGCGAAAGUUACGCUAAUACCGCAUACGAUCUAAGGAUGAAAGUGGGGGAUCGCAAGACCUCAUGCUCGUGGAGCGGCCGAUAUCUGAUUAGCUAGUUGGUAGGGUAAAAGCCUACCAAGGCAUCGAUCAGUAGCUGGUCUGAGAGGACGACCAGCCACACUGGAACUGAGACACGGUCCAGACUCCUACGGGAGGCAGCAGUGGGGAAUUUUGGACAAUGGGCGAAAGCCUGAUCCAGCAAUGCCGCGUGAGUGAAGGAGGCCUUCGGGUUGUAAAGCUCUUUUGUCAGGGAAGAAACGGUGAAGGCUAAUAUCCUUUGCUAAUGACGGUACCUGAAGAAUAAGCACCGGCUAACUACGUGCCAGCAGCCGCGGUAAU
This 473-nucleotide ribosomal RNA is filed under the name uncultured bacterium. RNAcentral describes it as "bacterial SSU rRNA". It matches the Rfam family "Bacterial small subunit ribosomal RNA", at positions 56 to 524 of the family's 1533-position model. The record is from RNAcentral.